Molecule: ribosomal RNA, 1200 nt
Filed under: metagenome
Description: bacterial SSU rRNA
Rfam family: Bacterial small subunit ribosomal RNA
Source: RNAcentral
GGACUGGCGGUAUGGGAUGGGGAUGCGUCUGAUUAGCUUGUUGGCGGGGUAACGGCCCACCAAGGCGACGAUCAGUAGGGGUUCUGAGAAGAAGGUCCCCCACAUUGGAACUGAGACACGGUCCAAACUCCUACGGGAGGCAGCAGUGAGGAAUAUUGGUCAAUGGGCGCAAGCCUGAACCAGCCAAGUAGCGUGAGGGAAGACUGCCCUACGGGUUGUAAACCUCUUUUGUUUGGGAAUAAAGUGCGGGACGCGUCCCGCAUUGCAUGUACCAUUUGAAUAAGGACCGGCUAAUUCCGUGCCAGCAGCCGCGGUAAUACGGAAGGUCCGGGCGUUAUCCGGAUUAUUGGGUUUAAAGGGAGCGCAGGCCGUGGGUUAAGCGUGUCGUGAAAUUCCGUCGCUCAACGGCGGACGUGCGGCGCGAACUGGUCCACUUGAGUACGCGGGACGUUGGCGGAAUUCGUGGUGUAGCGGUGAAAUGCUUAGAUAUCACGAAGAACUCCGAUUGCGAAGGCAGCUGACGGUAGCGCAACUGACGCUGAGGCUCGAAAGUGCGGGUAUCGAACAGGAUUAGAUACCCUGGUAGUCCGCACGGUAAACGAUGGAUGCCCGCUAUUCGCCCACCUGGGCGAGUGGCCAAGCGAAAGCGUUAAGCAUCCCACCUGGGGAGUACGCCGGCAACGGUGAAACUCAAAGGAAUUGACGGGGGCCCGCACAAGCGGAGGAACAUGUGGUUUAAUUCGAUGAUACGCGAGGAACCUUACCCGGGCUUGAAUUGCAGAGGAAGGAUUUAGAGAUAAUGACGCCCUUCGGGGCCUCUGUGAAGGUGCUGCAUGGUUGUCGUCAGCUCGUGCCGUGAGGUGUCGGCUUAAGUGCCAUAACGAGCGCAACCCCUCUCCGUAGUUGCCAUCGGGUGAUGCCGGGCACUCUGCGGACACUGCCACCGUAAGGUGUGAGGAAGGUGGGGAUGACGUCAAAUCAGCACGGCCCUUACGUCCGGGGCUACACACGUGUUACAAUGGGGCAUACAGAGCGCCGGCGGCCGGCAACGUCCGUCCAAUCGCAAAAGUGUCCCCCAGUUCGGACUGGGGUCUGCAACCCGACCCCACGAAGCUGGAUUCGCUAGUAAUCGCGCAUCAGCCAUGGCGCGGUGAAUACGUUCCCGGGCCUUGUACACACCGCCCGUCAAGCCAUGAAAGC